GACGAACGCUGGCGGCGUGCUUAACACAUGCAAGUCGAACGGAAAGGCCCUGCUUGCAGGGUACUCGAGUGGCGAACGGGUGAGUAACACGUGGGUGAUCUGCCCUGCACUUCGGGAUAAGCCUGGGAAACUGGGUCUAAUACCGGAUAGGAGCCAUUUUUAGUGUGAUGGUUGGAAAGUUUUUUCGGUGUAGGAUGAGCUCGCGGCCUAUCAGCUUGUUGGUGGGGUAAUGGCCUACCAAGGCGGCGACGGGUAGCCGGCCUGAGGGGGUGGACGGCCAAAGGUGGGCGUGGCGCCGGCCCGGCCCCCCGAGGGGGGCGGGGGGGGGGAAAUUGGCACAAUGGGGGGAAGCCUGGAUGGGGGACCCCGGGGGGGGGGAGACGGCCUUUGGGUUGGAAACCCCUUCGCGAAGGGGAGAAGGUUUUUGGGCCGGUAAUGGGAAAAGAAGCACGGCCUAACUACGGG
This 465-nucleotide ribosomal RNA is filed under the name uncultured bacterium. RNAcentral describes it as "partial 16S ribosomal RNA". It matches the Rfam family "Bacterial small subunit ribosomal RNA", at positions 28 to 507 of the family's 1533-position model. The record is from RNAcentral.